UACGUAGGGUGCGAGCGUUAAUCGGAAUUACUGGGCGUAAAGCGCACGUAGGCGGAUUGGAAAGUUGGAGGUGAAAUCCCAGGGCUCAACCUUGGAACUGCCUUCAAAACUCCCAGUCUUGAGGUCGAGAGAGGUAAGUGGAAUUCCGAGUGUAGAGGUGAAAUUCGUAGAUAUUCGGAGGAACACCAGUGGCGAAGGCGGCUUACUGGCUCGAUACUGACGCUCAUGCACGAAAGCGUGGGGAGCAAACAGG
This 253-nucleotide ribosomal RNA is filed under the name uncultured bacterium. RNAcentral describes it as "partial 16S ribosomal RNA". It matches the Rfam family "Bacterial small subunit ribosomal RNA", at positions 524 to 776 of the family's 1533-position model. The record is from RNAcentral.